Molecule: ribosomal RNA, 721 nt
Filed under: uncultured Bacteroidota bacterium
Lineage: Bacteria; Pseudomonadati; Bacteroidota
Description: bacterial SSU rRNA
Rfam family: Bacterial small subunit ribosomal RNA
Source: RNAcentral
GGCGCCUAAGUCUGGGGUGAAAUCUUGCCGCUUAACGGUAAAAUUGCCUUGGAUACUGGGUGCCUUGAAUCUGACAGAGGUCGGUGGAAUUCGUGGUGUAGCGGUGAAAUGCAUAGAUAUCACGAAGAACACCAGUGGCGAAGGCGGCCGGCUGGGUCAGUAUUGACGCUGAGGCACGAGAGCGUGGGGAGCGAACAGGAUUAGAUACCCUGGUAGUCCACGCUGUAAACGAUGUAUGCUAGUUGUUGGGCCUUUGGGUUCAGUGACGCAGUUAACGCAGUAAGCAUACCACCUGGGGAGUACGUUCGCAAGAAUGAAACUCAAAGGAAUUGACGGGGGCCCGCACAAGCGGUGGAGCAUGUGGCUUAAUUCGAUGCAACGCGAAGAACCUUACCCGGGCUAAAUCUCCGGCGACCGCCCCCGAAACGGGGCUUCCCUUCGGGGCGCCGGCGAAGGUGCUGCAUGGCUGUCGUCAGCUCGUGCCGUGAGGUGUUGCCUUAAGUGGCGCAACGAGCGCAACCCCUGUGGUUAGUUACCAGCACGUCAAGGUGGGGACUCUAGCCAGACUGCCUACGCAAGUAGUGAGGAAGGUGGGGACGACGUCAAGUCAUCAUGGCCCUUAUGUCCGGGGCUGCACACGUGCUACAAUGGAUGGUACAGAGGGAAGCUACCGCGCAAGCGGAUGCAGAUCUCCAAAGCCAUUCCCAGUUCGGAUUGGAGU